This is a non-coding RNA of Cricetulus griseus (Chinese hamster), 938 nucleotides long. NCBI's taxonomy places the organism in Eukaryota, Metazoa, Chordata, Mammalia, Rodentia, Cricetidae. The record is from RefSeq and is a predicted model, not a curated record.
CCACAUACAGAGAGGCAUGGAGAAAAGGUGGGCUCUAAGCUGCCACUUCCGGUAGGAUUUGCUAAGGAUAUGAAAAGUUCAUCCAGGAGUGGGCCAAGCAAGAGGCUGAAUCCUAGUGCAGAAGUGAGGUGGGCAGACUGGGACAGGGGUGAGAAGAGCUGGGAAUGUGUGUACCCUUAACCCAUGAUGUUUCAGAGACAAAGAGGCUUUGCAGGUCCAGGGCCCUCUGGGGAGCCCCUAGCAGUUCGGUCUGAUGGAAAAGAGUGGAGGGAGUCUGAAGAGGCCUGAGGCCUGAAAAAAGAAAGGAAGCAGAAGCAGCAAACCUACCCGGAUCUUUCCAGAAGUGCUGGCAUUAAAGGCGUGAGCCACCACCGCCAGGAAGAUUUAAACAUUUUGAAGAUAGAAAACUCCUAGGUAUGUGUAAAUGUUAGCACAACGAAGGGGUGUGGAAGAUAUUGGUGACAUCAGCAACGACUUCCCCAAGUGCCAGCAGCAAGGCAUGGUGAAUGAAGACUGGAGGUUGUAUGAAGAUGUAGGCGUUUUUACAGGACAUGUCGUUACUUCUGGCCCUGCUCGCUGGUGUUCUCUCUCCUGCCAUCACUGCAGCCUUGUUCUUAGCACACAUGUGCACUUUGCAGAGGAGGCCUUCACACCAGAUGACACCAGUGAGCACCCUGAACCACCACUGCUCAUCUGAGAGACUAUGAGGUUGGAGAGAUGACUCAGCAGUUAAGCGAACUGACUGCUCUUCCAAAGGAACCAGGUUGGAGCCCUGCAUGGCAGCUCACAACCACCUAUAACUUCAGUUCCAGGAAAUCUAAUACAUUCUUCUGGCUUCUGUGGUCACUUCAUACACAUGUGAUACACUGACACACAUGUGGGCAAAACACCCAUACACAUAAAAUAAAAAUAAAUAAAAUUAAAUUUCUUUCAAUGAA